RNAcentral lists this ribosomal RNA (460 nucleotides) under uncultured bacterium. RNAcentral's name for it is "partial 16S ribosomal RNA". It matches the Rfam family "Bacterial small subunit ribosomal RNA", at positions 338 to 795 of the family's 1533-position model. The record is from RNAcentral.
CCUACGGGAGGCUGCAGUGAGGAAUAUUGGUCAAUGGACGGAAGUCUGAACCAGCCAUGCCGCGUGCAGGAAGACGGCUCUAUGAGUUGUAACCUGCUUUUGUACAAGGGUACACCUGAAUACGUGUAUUCAGCUGAAAGUACUGUACGAAUAAGGAUCGGCUAACUCCGUGCCAACAGCCGCGGUAAUACGGAGGAUCCAAGCGUUAUCCGGAUUUAUUUGGUUUAACGGGUGCGUAGGCGGAGUGAUAAGGUAGAGGUGAAAUGGCCGAGCGUAACUCGGGAACUGCCUCUAAUACUGUUGAUCUAGAGAGUAGAUGCGGUAGGCGGAAUGUAUGGGGUAGCGGUGAAAUGCUUAGAGAUCAUACAGAACAACGAGUGCGAAGGCAGCUUACCAAUCUAUAUCUGACGUUGAGGCACGAAAGCGUGGGGAGCAAACAGGAUUAGAUACCCGAGUAGUC